Long non-coding RNA from Oreochromis aureus, 3386 nucleotides. The record is from Ensembl. NCBI's taxonomy places the organism in Eukaryota, Metazoa, Chordata, Actinopteri, Cichliformes, Cichlidae.
CUGUAGUUUAAUGCGGACACUUUAAGUUUAAAUUAACUUCUGUAGUUUCUUGCAGAAGCAAGCUUUGUCAUAAUCAGUGGAUGAAUGAACUCCCAACAUGUCCUUGGCUGUAGGACUUUUCCGCUGCUGGAGACCAACAAAGACAGAACCAAUACACAUGGUGAAUGAUCAGGAGUAUUUUAUCAGUAAUGGAGACGGAAAUGACGGGAUCAAAAGAGUAAGAAUAAGGAGGAAUUCCGUGUCACAGGAUUUCUGGAACUGUGGAGUAAAUUUUUUGGAUGCCUGGUCAGUGUCAGAGCGCAUGGGGAACACACUUCGUGAAUCUGUUUAUGUGUGAGUGACACUAACCAGCCGGUCACAGCCACACAGUAACCUCUGAAACAGUUAACAGUCCUGGAGAAGGAUGCCUUCCCUGCAUCAUGGAGCAAUCUUCACCGGAGCCUUCCUCAUUGUGACUGGGGGGUCCACAGCCUUCCUGACUUCAUCCCAGAGUCGCCUGCAGGCUUUCUCCCUCUGCUGUGUGGUGCUGGGGGUGGUCAUGCUCAUCCUUGGGUUAUUUUGGGCUAUGAACAGCAAAAGUGCUGCUAAUUACAACCACAGCGAGUACGACCAAGAGUGCCCGCAUUAUUCGUACGAGUACACCAACUACCCCGGCCAAGCCUACUUCACUUCCCCAGGGAAUCGGUUCCCAGAGUCCCAGUCAGUGUUUCUGCCCAGGACGAUGGAGCGCCACAGGCAUGCUGCUCGAGGUGAAGAUUUCGACUACCCCCCAAUGAUUAUGGAAUCUGGUGGUUUCAGUCCAACGCCUCAUCCUCCUCCAUGGCUGGGACCCCCACCUCCAUAUGAGGUUGCCAUCAAGACAACAUGUAGCUCUACACACCUGCGGCGUGCAUACUCAGACACACACCUGGCAUCAGAGCCCCUGUUUGGACAAUCAAGAGAGAUCAGCUUUGAGGUGUGAUGCCUGGGGACCCUGCUCAGACUAUACUGUAGUUUUCUUUUCAUAGUAACAAACUUUUUCACUCACUUGAAGCAUGGGUCUUUCUUGGUCUUAGCAUGCUUUCUGCAAGUUUCCUGUAAUUUAAAUUAUGUGAUGAUGCUACGGUUAAAUGCAUUAAGAGUAUAUGUAAAAGGGGCUGAAGGGAUGCCACACACUGGUUUGCAAAGUCCCAUUUUGAAGCCUCAACUUCAGCACAAUAAGCACAGAUAAUUUGCUUAAAAUGCUCCAAAAGGCACAAAACCACAUAGAGAGAUUUAGAUCAAUUGAGUGACUUGAAUUAUCAGAGCUGAAGCCAAACACCAAAGCGCCAUCUGCUCACCCCCACCCGCAAUAAUAAUGAUAACUUUAAGCCUUAACAUGUACAGCUGAUAUAAAGGUGAGAUUUAGAGAUGAAGAUCAAAACCAUCUGCUCUACCACGAUGAAAACAUAUUUACUUUUUCCUCUCAUGUUCUCAUUUUUCAUCAACGAGCAUUUCAACAUGGGGACCCCUCAGGUUUGGAGCCAGCCUUAUGUAGUCUUUAAAUGAACUUCCAUGUGGCUUCAUUUUUCAACCCAUGGUGUUGCCACUUGGUUAAAUUUCUAUCCAUCAUUGGAGGCUGGAGCUUAUUUCAGUGGUCUUGGGACAAGAGGUGGGGGUAACACAAAGAAACAGACAUCUCAUUAAAACUGAUAGUCACACCUUUUUGGAAUCGUUAAUUAAGCUAAGAUGCUUUCAUAGUCUUUGGACUGUGGGAGGAAACUGGAGUACCAGGAGAAAACUCACAAAGGGAGGCACAUGAAAAACAUGCACACUCUACACAGAAAGGCACCAGCUGGAUUCAAAACCAGGACCUUGUUGCUGUAAAGUAAAAUCUGAAUAACAGCACCAUUGUGCUGGUCUUGGUUAAAUGUAUAAGGUACCAAAUUCAUCUUUAUUUGACCAAAAUAAAGCACAAAGGCUUUUUAAACUAACACUGAUAUAUUUAUACACAAGAAAUUCAAUGCCAGGUCCUGUGGAUGUGAUGCAGGCAGUCACCCAUCUGUGCCUGGACUACCUAAAUGUCUGGAUCUUUUGCUGAGGAAUUGCAGUCUGCAGCUGCACAGUCGUCCAUGGUUGUGGCUGCCUCUGUUCAGCGUGUUCACCCAAAAGUGCCAAUAGUGCAUUUUGUUGAGUCAAAAUGUACAAAAAAGUAAUGAUUUUAUGAGAGGCUACAUGUUAGAUUAAACAUUAAAUUCUAGCCUUUAUGCUAAGCUUUUCCACACCAGAAACAUUAAGCGCUAUGGAGACUUAACGAAAAAGAAAACCUACAAAGUACUGGGAAUGCUGUAUUCAUCAUUUCUUUAAAUUUCUGUUUGACUGAUCUGGACAACUGGAUAAUCCUCCUCUGUGGGAUGGGGAUUGUGGCUUUCAAACAAUGCAGAUGUUCUCUGGGAAUAGCAGUCCUUCGGUUUAUGUGCCACACAUGUACUCAUCAGCUCGGUGAAGGCAGGGGAACGAUGACUCAUCUAACCAUAUGAGUUUUUCCACUGCUUGAUAGACCACUGCAGCUCACUGGCAAUGCUGCAUGAGUUUCAAGGGUUACAAAAUGACCUAUUGUGCCCGCACAGUUGCUGUCAUUAGAAGGAUACCUUUGUGCGUUUGCAUUUUUAAAACAUUUUAACAUGACUUCUGUUGUUGUAAUACAGUGCAACAUGGAAAUCAACUAUUAGAGGCCUUAAACGUAUUUCUCUUUAAGCAUGUGACAUUCAGGUGCUGUCUGGAAUCUACAACUUUAAAUAUUUGAGGAGUGGAUCAACCCAAAAAUGCCUUUAUAUGCUUUUAGUUUUUAAAAUAGAAUAAAAGUUAAACAAGGAAAUUAGGGAAAGGAGACUUUGCGGAAGAAGGACUUUUCAGGACAGUUCAAACUCGGAAGCAGAAAAGUACCCUUCUGAGUUUAUGACAUAUCAAUCAAAGAUAGUUAAAUAGACAAAACUAAGGUGUUAAUCAUGAUUAUGUUUGUGUCUUUUGUCUCUCCAAGUUCAUUUUCAUUCUAUCGUAAAAAUUUUUUUUAAAAAUCCCUGGAUUUUUUUUUCUGUUCUUGGUCAUCUGCCGCGUAUCAGACUGCUCGUCAUUUAUUCUUCACAGUUUAUUAUAUUAUAAACUACAGUGACAUAUGAGCAACUCUAAACUGAAAACCUGGCUUCAGCUUACAUGAGUCACAGGAUCAUGGUUGUCUCACCAUGUAGCUUGGAACUGUUUGUUUAGCUCUGAAUAUGCAUGUAUCUGCUAUGCGCUUGGAAAAGGCAACUCAAGAGAGAACUGUGCAGUGAUUUCAGUCUCUGUGAGAGUGUGAUUUCAACUUUUUUUAAUAAAAACCAAAAAAGCUGACAGUCUCAGAUGUUUCAUUGUUUCAUUAACCAGCAAAU